Molecule: unclassified non-coding RNA, 350 nt
Filed under: soil metagenome
Description: partial contains 5.8S ribosomal RNA, internal transcribed spacer 2, and large subunit ribosomal RNA
Rfam family: 5.8S ribosomal RNA (bases 1-120)
Source: RNAcentral
GAUGAAGAACGCAGCGAAAUGCGAUAAGUAAUGUGUAUUGCAGAAUUCAGUGAAUCAUCGAAUCUUUGAACGCACAUUGCGCCCGCCAGUAUUCUGGCGGGCAUGCCUGUUCGAGCGUCAUUUCAACCCUCAAGCCCAGCUUGGUGUUGGGGAUCGGCACAGGCGCCCUCGGGCGCCCGCCGUCCCCUAAAUCUAGUGGCGGUCCCGCUGCAGCCUCCUCUGCGUAGUAGUUUUCUCCUCGCAAGGGCAGCUCGGUGGCGACCUCGCCGUAAAACCCCCAACUUCUGAAAGGUUGACCUCGAAUCAGGUAGGAAUACCCGCUGAACUUAAGCAUAUCAAUAAGCGGAGGA